RNAcentral lists this ribosomal RNA (853 nucleotides) under uncultured bacterium. RNAcentral's name for it is "partial 16S ribosomal RNA". The record is from RNAcentral.
AUUCAUUUGAGUUUUAACCUUGCGGUCGUACUCCCCAGGCGGUGUGUUUAUCGGUUUCCUGCGACACUGAAAAUAAAUUUCCAACGUCUAACACACAUCGUUUACGGCAUGGACUACGAGGGUAUCUAAUCCUCUUCGCUACCCAUGCUUUCGUUCCUCAGUGUCAGUAAUGAUCCAGAAAGCUGCCUUCGCAAUUGGUAUUCUUUCUAAUAUCUACGAAUUUCACCUCUACACUAGAAAUUCUGCUUUCCUCUAUCAUACUCUAGCUGAAAAGUUUUGAUGGCAGUUCCAGAGUUAAGCUCUGGGAUUUCACCACCAACUUUUUCAACCACCUACGAACUCUUUAAGCCCAGUAAUUCCGAACUACGCUAGGUCCCUUCGUAUUACCGCGGCUGCUGGCACGAAGUUAGCCGGACCUUCUUAUUCGGGUACAGUCAUUUUCUUCCCCGACGAAAGAGCUUUACAACCCAAAGGCCUUCUUCACUCACGCGGCAUCGCUGCAUCAGAGUUUCCUCCAUUGUGCAAGAUUCCCCACUGCUGCCUCCCGUAGGAGUUUGGGCCGUGUCUCAGUCCCAAUGUGGCUGAUCAUCCUCUCAAAUCAGCUAUUGAUCAUAGUCUUGGUAGGCCAUUACCCUACCAACAAACUAAUCAAGUGCGGGCUCAUCCAAUGGUGCAUAAAGCUUUCUCCGUAAAGACUUAUCCGGUAUUAGCACAAGUUUCCUCGUGUUAUUCCAGGCCAAAGGGUAGAUACCCACAUGUUACUCACCCGUCUGCCACUAAGUAUUGCUACUUCGUUCGACUUGCAUGUGUUAGGCGUGCCGCCAGCGUACGUUCUGAGCCAGGAUCAAACUCU